RNAcentral lists this ribosomal RNA (429 nucleotides) under Gemmatimonadota bacterium. RNAcentral's name for it is "Gemmatimonadetes bacterium partial 16S ribosomal RNA". It matches the Rfam family "Bacterial small subunit ribosomal RNA", at positions 355 to 776 of the family's 1533-position model. The record is from RNAcentral. Lineage: Bacteria; Pseudomonadati; Gemmatimonadota.
UAGGGAAUCUUCGGCAAUGGACGAAAGUCUGACCGAGCAACGCCGCGUGAGUGAAGAAGGUUUUCGGAUCGUAAAACUCUGUUGUUAGAGAAGAACAAGGACGUUAGUAACUGAACGUCCCCUGACGGUAUCUAACCAGAAAGCCACGGCUAACUACGUGCCAGCAGCCGCGGUAAUACGUAGGUGGCAAGCGUUGUCCGGAUUUAUUGGGCGUAAAGCGAGCGCAGGCGGUUUCUUAAGUCUGAUGUGAAAGCCCCCGGCUCAACCGGGGAGGGUCAUUGGAAACUGGGGGACAUGAGUGCAGAAGAGGGGAGUGGAAUUCCAUGUGUAGCGGUGAAAUGCGUAGAUAUAUGGAGGAACACCAGUGGCGAAGGCGGCUCUCUGGUCUGUAACUGACGCUGAGGCUCGAAAGCGUGGGGAGCAAACAGG